This 856-nucleotide ribosomal RNA is filed under the name Salinivibrio kushneri. RNAcentral describes it as "bacterial LSU rRNA". It matches the Rfam family "Bacterial large subunit ribosomal RNA", at positions 1 to 904 of the family's 2925-position model. The record is from RNAcentral. Lineage: Bacteria; Pseudomonadati; Pseudomonadota; Gammaproteobacteria; Vibrionales; Vibrionaceae.
GUUGUAUGGUUAAGUGACUAAGCGUAGACGGUGGAUGCCUUGGCAGUCAGAGGCGAUGAAGGACGUAUUAACUUGCGAAAAGCCCAGAUAAGGCAGUAAAAGCCAUUUGAAUCUGGGAUAUCCGAAUGGGGAAACCCACCUGCAUAAGCAGGUAUCUUAGCGUGAAUACAUAGCGCUAAGAGGCGAACUCGGGGAACUGAAACAUCUAAGUACCCGAAGGAAAAGAAAUCAAUUGAGAUUCCGGCAGUAGCGGCGAGCGACCCCGGAUUAGCCCUUAAGUAGACUUGGCGUUAGGUGAACAGGUUGGAAAACCUGGCAAUAAAGGGUGAUAGCCCCGUAACCGACGGCGCCAUAUUUGUGAAAACGAGUAGGACGGGACACGUGAUAUCUUGUCUGAACAUGGGGGGACCAUCCUCCAAGGCUAAAUACUCCUGACUGACCGAUAGUGAACCAGUACCGUGAGGGAAAGGCGAAAAGAACCCCUGUGAGGGGAGUGAAAUAGAACCUGAAACCGUCUACGUACAAGCAGUGGGAGCCUCCUUUGUGGGGUGACCGCGUACCUUUUGUAUAAUGGGUCAGCGACUUAAUGUUAGUAGCAAGGUUAACCGCAUAGGGGAGCCGUAGGGAAACCGAGUCUUAACUGGGCGUAYAGUUGCUWGCAUUAGACCCGAAACCGAGUGAUCUAGCCAUGGGCAGGUUGAAGGUUGAGUAACAUCAACUGGAGGACCGAACUCACUAACGUUGAAAAGUUAGGAGAUGACCUGUGGCUAGGGGUGAAAGGCCAAUCAAACUCGGAGAUAGCUGGUUCUCCCCGAAAGCUAUUUAGGUAGCGCCUCGGACGAACACUACUGGGGGU